GCGGGAGUAACUCAGUGGUAGAGUGCUAGCUUCCCAAGCUGGACGUCGCGGGUCCGAAUCCCGUCUCCCGCU
This 72-nucleotide transfer RNA is filed under the name Planctomycetota bacterium. Its description in RNAcentral is "Planctomycetes bacterium (groundwater metagenome) tRNA-Gly". It matches the Rfam family "tRNA". Rfam says of the family: Transfer RNA (tRNA) molecules are approximately 80 nucleotides in length. Their secondary structure includes four short double-helical elements and three loops (D, anti-codon, and T loops). Further hydrogen bonds mediate the characteristic L-shaped molecular structure. tRNAs have two regions of fundamental functional importance: the anti-codon, which is responsible for specific mRNA codon recognition, and the 3' end, to which the tRNAs corresponding amino acid is attached (by aminoacyl-tRNA synthetases). tRNAs cope with the degeneracy of the genetic code in two manners: having more than one tRNA (with a specific anti-codon) for a particular amino acid; and 'wobble' base-pairing, i.e. permitting non-standard base-pairing at the 3rd anti-codon position. Lineage: Bacteria; Pseudomonadati; Planctomycetota. RNAcentral also lists the same sequence under 2 other names. The record is from RNAcentral.